UAUACAUGCAGUCGAGCGGACAGAUGGGAGCUUGCUCCCUGAAGUCAGCGGCGGACGGGUGAGUAACACGUGGGCAACCUGCCUGUAAGACUGGGAUAACUUCGGGAAACCGGAGCUAAUACCGGAUAACACCGAGGACCUCAUGGUCCUUGGUUGAAAGAUGGCUUCGGCUAUCACUUACAGAUGGGCCCGCGGCGCAUUAGCUAGUUGGUGAGGUAACGGCUCACCAAGGCGACGAUGCGUAGCCGACCUGAGAGGGUGAUCGGCCACACUGGGACUGAGACACGGCCCAGACUCCUACGGGAGGCAGCAGUAGGGAAUCUUCCGCAAUGGACGAAAGUCUGACGGAGCAACGCCGCGUGAGCGAUGAAGGCCUUCGGGUCGUAAAGCUCUGUUGUUAGGGAAGAACAAGUACCGUUCGAAUAGGGCGGUACCUUGACGGUACCUAACCAGAAAGCCACGGCUAACUACGUGCCAGCAGCCGCGGUAAUACGUAGGUGGCAAGCGUUGUCCGGAAUUAUUGGGCGUAAAGCGCGCGCAGGCGGUUCCUUAAGUCUGAUGUGAAAGCCCACGGCUCAACCCGUGGAGGGUCAUUGGAAACUGGGGAACUUGAGUGCAGAAGAGGAAGCGGAAUUUCCACGUGUAGCGGUGAAAUGCGUAGAGAUGUGGAGGACACCAGUGGCGAGGCGGCUUUUCUGGUCUGUACUGACG
Molecule: ribosomal RNA, 711 nt
Filed under: Bacillus thaonhiensis
Lineage: Bacteria; Bacillati; Bacillota; Bacilli; Caryophanales; Bacillaceae
Description: bacterial SSU rRNA
Rfam family: Bacterial small subunit ribosomal RNA
Source: RNAcentral